CUCCCUUCCGUCGACUCUCCCUCAUUUCAUCUUCAACAAAAACUCAAAUCCCCAAUCUCAAAACAAAGGCAAAACCCUAAUCUUCUUCUCCUUCCUCGGCGGAUUUCACCGCCACACCAGCCACCACGCACCACCAUCGCCGGCGCCAUCACGGGAGCUUGGUGGGCUCGCGCCGUCGACGUCUUCCCUCUCUGCGUCUCACGUUGGGUGCAGCCUACCGACGCGAAGCCGAUGCCGCCUCCGUCUCCAGCCGACGCCGCGGCUGUGUAGCCGCCUCCGUCGGGUCUCCCCGUUGCGCUGAGGCAGCACACGCUCCUGCCGGUGCCGUCACCUCUCCGGCGAGCUGCAGAUCCUUUCCUCGGCUAUCUCCGCCGGCUCGCCGCUGCUUCGCAGUCGGCGUCGUCUUCUCCAACAGAAAACUCCUAGGCUAAGUCUUCUACCUUAGCUAUUUAGGUGUUUUUCUCUACUUCGUUGGUUCGUGUCUGAACUUAAUCGUCCACCUACUGGGAUGAGCUUGACAGUUGGCUAAAGUGUUGUUCCUUUAAUUAUUUACGGCUUACUUAUGUUCUCUGAAACUAUGGGGUUCCUCUAGCAUGCUUGUGAUGUCUACAUGAUGCUAUAAUAUGGUUAACAGAGGUUGAAAGGAAGUGUGGUUACCUCCACUGAACUUGUGCUGCUAGUCCUUGUCUUUGCUCUUGUUUCACCCUCACCUCCUCCCCCUUCCUCGGCUCCUCUCUUUCUUUAAUUGGAUGUUGCUUUGUGAUAAAUGGGGAGGAAGAGGCCGAGGCUGAUCUAUACUUAUAGUUGGGGUGUAACUGAAAGCUGCAAGAGUUUGUUAUCUGACUGGAAAAGGAGCCUUAAGGCUGCCCUAUGUUGGCUGCCAUCCCUGCAGCUUGCAGGCUGGGUACUCGUGAGAUAAAUGAGCUUACAGUUCCUGGACAUGCUCUGAAAAAUUACUGAAUUUGGUGUUAUAUUCUGGUGUCCCUUUUGAUGUACAUCUUAACUGCAUUUGGCUUUAUUUUGCAGGUACGAGCUGGGCAGGGCUGUUGGGGUGAAGAGGCCGAAUGGACCGCCUCACUGCAGUCUUCGGUACCGGCUGCGGGGCAGGUCGCUGCAGGCUGUUGCAGGUCCCUCGGUGCCUUCAUUCUUGCUCAUUUAGCGUCGCACGGCUAGCUGCGGGGCUUUUCCUUUUUUUGGUCUCGCCCUCUCGGGCUUUCUGGAAUGUUGGGGCCAAGACGGCUCGCGUUGAAGGCCGAGGAAGUUCACUAGGAACUCUCGGUUGUUGUAGCUCAAAGUGAACCCCUUUUGUUAGUCUUAACAACAAUGUAGUAGCCAUUGUAGUUUGUAUGUAAUAAAUUCCAAACACUUGUAAUGUGUUAGCUUUGAAAAUUCUGAAGUUGUACUUGUACCCUUAUUCAAGAAAUAAAAAUACUCUUUCAUUCGUCAA
This is a long non-coding RNA of Salvia splendens (bonfire salvia), 1447 nucleotides long. RefSeq lists it as uncharacterized. NCBI's taxonomy places the organism in Eukaryota, Viridiplantae, Streptophyta, Magnoliopsida, Lamiales, Lamiaceae. The record is from RefSeq and is a predicted model, not a curated record. The transcript is spliced from 2 exons.